RNAcentral lists this ribosomal RNA (254 nucleotides) under uncultured bacterium. RNAcentral describes it as "partial 16S ribosomal RNA". It matches the Rfam family "Bacterial small subunit ribosomal RNA", at positions 524 to 776 of the family's 1533-position model. The record is from RNAcentral.
UACGUAGGGUGCAAGCGUUUAAUCGGAAUUACUGGGCGUAAAGGGUGCGCAGGUGGCCGCGCAAGUUCGAUGUGAAAGCCCCGGGCUUAACCCGGGAAUGGCAUUGAAAACUGCGUGGCUGGAGGAUCGGAGGGGGGACUGGAAUUCUUGGUGUAGCAGUGAAAUGCGUAGAUAUCAAGAGGAACACCAGUGGCGAAGGCGGCCCACUGGAUCGGUACUGACGCUGAGGUGCGAAAGCGUGGGGAGCAAACAGG